AGAGUGAACGCUGGCGGCGUGCUUAACACAUGCAAGUCGAACGAGAACGGUCCUUCGGGAUGUCAGCUAAGUGGCGGACGGGUGAGUAAUGUAUAGUUAAUCUGCCCUUUAGAGGGGGAUAACAGUUGGAAACGACUGCUAAUACCCCAUACUCCUUCUAUGUUAAUCAUAGUUGGGAAACGUUUUUUCGCUAAAGGAUGAGACUAUAUGGUAUCAGGUAGUUGGUGGGGUAAGAGCCUACCAAGCCAAUGACGCCUAGCUGGUCUGAGAGGAUGAUCAGCCACACUGGAACUGAGACACGGUCCAGACUCCUACGGGAGGCAGCAGUGGGGAAUAUUGCACAAUGGAGGAAACUCUGAUGCAGCAACGCCGCGUGGAGGAUGACGCAUUUCGGUGUGUAAACUCCUUUUAUAUAGGAAGAUAAUGACGGUACUAUAUGAAUAAGCACCGGCUAACUCCGUGCCAGCAGCCGCGGUAAUACGGAGGGUGCAAGCGUUACUCGGAAUCACUGGGCGUAAAGCGCGCGCAGGCGGCCUUUUAAGUUGGAUGUGAAAGCCUACGGCUCAACCGUAGAACUGCAUCCAAAACUACUAGGCUAGAGUGUGGGAGAGGAAGAUGGAAUUAGUUGUGUAGGGGUAAAAUCCGUAGAGAUAACUAGGAAUACCAAAAGCGAAGGCAAUCUUCUGGAACAUUACUGACGCUGAGGCGCGAAAGCGUGGGGAGCAAACAGGAUUAGAUACCCUGGUAGUCCACGCCCUAAACGAUGAAUGUUAGUCGUCGGGAAGCUAGUCUUUUCGGUGAUGCAGCUAACGCAUUAAACAUUCCGCCUGGGGAGUACGGUCGCAAGAUUAAAACUCAAAGGAAUAGACGGGGACCCGCACAAGUGGUGGAGCAUGUGGUUUAAUUCGAAAAUACGCGAAGAACCUUACCUAGCCUUGACAUAUUAAAGAACACUUUAGAGAUAGAGUGGUGCCUUCGGGAGCUUUUAUACAGGUGCUGCACGGCUGUCGUCAGCUCGUGUCGUGAGAUGUUGGGUUAAGUCCCGCAACGAGCGCAACCCUCGUCACUAGUUACUAACGGUUCGGCCGAGGACUCUAGUGAGACUGCCUUCGCAAGGAGGAGGAAGGUGAGGACGACGUCAAGUCAUCAUGGCCCUUACGGCUAGGGCAACACACGUGCUACAAUGGCCAGGACAAUGAGAAGCGAUACCGCGAG
This 1215-nucleotide ribosomal RNA is filed under the name metagenome. RNAcentral's name for it is "bacterial SSU rRNA". It matches the Rfam family "Bacterial small subunit ribosomal RNA", at positions 26 to 1261 of the family's 1533-position model. The record is from RNAcentral.